UGGGGAAUAUUGCACAAUGGGCGCAAGCCUGAUGCAGCCAUGCCGCGUGUGUGAAGAAGGCCUUCGGGUUGUAAAGCACUUUCAGCGAGGAGGAAGGUGGUGGACUUAAUACGUUCAUCAAUUGACGUUACUCGCAGAAGAAGCACCGGCUAACUCCGUGCCAGCAGCCGCGGUAAUACGGAGGGUGCAAGCGUUAAUCGGAAUUACUGGGCGUAAAAGCGCACGCAGGCGGUUUGUUAAGUCAGAUGUGAAAUCCCCGGGCUCAACUUGGGAACUGCAUUUGAAAACUGGCAAGCUAGAGUCUCGUAGAGGGGGGUAGAAAUUCCAGGUGUAGCGGUGAAAUGCGUAGAGAUCUGGAGGAAUACCGGUGGCGAAGGCGGCCCCCUGGACGAAGACUGACGCUCAGGUGCGAAAGCGUGGGGAGCAAAACAGGAUUAGAUACCCUGGUAGUCCACGCUGUAAAACGAUGUCGAUUUUGGAGGUUGUGCCCUUGAGGCGUGGCUUCCGGAGCUAACGCGUUAAAUCGACCGCCUGGGGAGUACGGCC
Molecule: ribosomal RNA, 546 nt
Filed under: uncultured bacterium
Lineage: Bacteria
Description: partial 16S ribosomal RNA
Rfam family: Bacterial small subunit ribosomal RNA
Source: RNAcentral